Molecule: ribosomal RNA, 253 nt
Filed under: uncultured bacterium
Lineage: Bacteria
Description: partial 16S ribosomal RNA
Rfam family: Bacterial small subunit ribosomal RNA
Source: RNAcentral
UACAGAGGUCUCAAGCGUUGUUCGGAUUCAUUGGGCGUAAAGGGUGCGUAGGCGGCGCUGUAAGUCGGGUGUGAAAUUUCGGAGCUUAACUCCGAAACUGCAUUCGAUACUGCGGUGCUUGAGGACUGGAGAGGAGACUGGAAUUUAUGGUGUAGCAGUGAAAUGCGUAGAGAUCAUAAGGAAGACCAGUGGCGAAGGCGGGUCUCUGGACAGUUCCUGACACUGAGGCACGAAGGCCAGGGGAGCAAACAGG